AGCUCCAAUAGCGUAUAUUAAAGUUGUUGCGGUUAAAAAGCUCGUAGUUGGAUCUCGGCAGGUAGGGGGCGGUUCGUUUCUGACGGCACUGCCCCAUUUACCUGUGUUUUUGACGGAGGUUUCACGGUGAUUUUCAUCGAUUGUCGUGAUACGCCGUCAGGUUUACUUUGAAAAAAUUAGAGUGCUCAAAGCAGGCUACAAGCUUGAAUAUUUGUGCAUGGAAUAAUGGAAUAGGAAGUCGUUUCUAUUUUUUUGGUUUUCGGAAAUUGACUUAAUGAUUAAUAGGGACAGCCGGGGGCAUUCGUACUCAGACGACAGAGGUGAAAUUCUUGGAUCCUCGCCAGACCAACAAAAGCGAAAGCAUUUGCCAAGAAUGUCUUCA
This 382-nucleotide ribosomal RNA is filed under the name marine copepod environmental sample. RNAcentral describes it as "partial small subunit ribosomal RNA". It matches the Rfam family "Eukaryotic small subunit ribosomal RNA", at positions 587 to 972 of the family's 1831-position model. The record is from RNAcentral. Lineage: Eukaryota; Metazoa; Arthropoda; Copepoda.